CAGAUUAUGCCUAGGGUUAUUUAUUAUUUACAUUAAUAGAUUAUUUGUGCAAUUCAAAUUGAUCUGA
Molecule: transfer RNA, 67 nt
Filed under: Megacopta cribraria (bean plataspid)
Lineage: Eukaryota; Metazoa; Arthropoda; Insecta; Hemiptera; Plataspidae
Description: tRNA-Val
Source: RNAcentral